UUGUAGAAUAGAGGUGCUGAGGUUGUCGCUGACUUUUUGAAUGGGUCGUGCACGCCUCGGUGCUCUCACAUAUAAUCCAUCUCACCCCUUUGUGCAUUACCGCGUGAGGGUCCCUUUCGGCUAGUUCUGAGGGGGGUUUUCACGUUUUUACAUAGACACCCUUUUAAUGCAAUGUGUAGAAUGUCUUACUUUCUUUGCGAUCACACGCAAUUAAUA
This 216-nucleotide unclassified non-coding RNA is filed under the name uncultured Russula. RNAcentral describes it as "sequence contains ITS1". The record is from RNAcentral. Lineage: Eukaryota; Fungi; Basidiomycota; Agaricomycetes; Russulales; Russulaceae.